Long non-coding RNA from Xenopus laevis (African clawed frog), 1707 nucleotides. RefSeq lists it as uncharacterized. The transcript has 2 exons. NCBI's taxonomy places the organism in Eukaryota, Metazoa, Chordata, Amphibia, Anura, Pipidae. The record is from RefSeq and is a predicted model, not a curated record.
UUUAGGGAAAGGCAGUUUAAAUCUCCUGCCUGUGGAUACUUUGGCUACUGUGUGUUUCCCCAGGGUCAGGUCAGAGAACAGGUCUUGCUCAUGUACCUGCCAUGUGGGAUCGGCUACUACGUUCAAAGGGAAAGGUACCUUGGGGCAGGUAGCACUACCUGGGGACACAAGGGGAAGGGACAUUGAACUGACCGGAUUUAUUCUACAUGUAUCCACCCAGUGUGGGACUGUGGCAUUGAGAGACUGUGCCAGGGGUUGAGAGUCCACAAAGGUAAUAAAAGCUAUAUUAUGUGAUUUGCAUUUACAGUUACUAAAUACAGUUUACAUAAAGUUUAUAUUUGUUUUAUUGCAAACUGUAUGGUUUUUUUCCUAGUGGAAAUCCUAUGAUGUUUUCUCCUUCCUCAGUGUUCUCUAGGUGGAGGCUCUGCACUGUAAAUCCCAGUUCCCAGUGCUUUUCAUACGCAAAUGGGACUCAGGGCCCUGGAAUGCCAAGGGUUGAUUGCUAUUUACAGAGACACUAACCAAAUUAGGGUUAUACAAACUUUUAACACUGAAAGAGAACUCAACCCCCAAAAGCCCCAGUCUACUAACCUAGGUAGUUCCCUCCUCCCUGCUUCCCCCCCCGCAUACUUCAGUAGCCCUAAAAUAUUUCUCCCCUAUCAGUGCAAAGUAAGCAGAGCGGAGUUCAUGGGCACCAUCUUCCGGAUCUUCGGAUUUCUUUGGGUCCUCUUCGGCAAUUUCCAGCGAUUUUGGUGCAUUCACAGUCAGUAUGGCCCGGAAGACUGCUCCAACUGCUUAUGCGCCAAUACGGUGCUCUAUUAAAGAUGAAGACUGGUGAUCUGGAAGAUGAAAAAGACAGCAGUGGCUUUGUACAGCACUUCUAUCAACAGCUGCCAGGCUCCUACUCUUCUCUAGGACCCGUGUUCCAAACAGCAGCACACAAUGACAUCCUUAUAGUAAUGAUGAAACCAACUGUUGUUAACCCAUUUUUACACAAUGUGCAGAACUACCACAACCAGUUACUUUCCGAGACUUGUGUUUAAAACAAUGGUGGCAUCAUAUUUAGACAGAUGGUGGUGUUUUGUAUAUACACACUCAGAGGCAGAACCAGGGGCAGGGGGUGUUGGGCCUUCAACCCCUCGGGGCCCGUCGAAGCAAAUAUGUGAAGAAGAUUUUUGCACGUCCUGCAUGCCCCACCAGUGCUGGUUAUGUUACUGUAUACACUGUUAUAUUGGAAGGCAUAGUCACACCCUGCACAUUUAUUUCUUAAGGCUAAAAGGAGAUGACGCAGGAGCUCAAUGGUUUCAUAUUGUCUACAAAGACAAAUCAAAAUUAAGAACAGUUUGCUUGUAAUAUUCCAAUUAUAUGUGUUCUGGAUUUACAGGCAGGUGCCAGUGCCUUCCGUUUGCUACAGUGAUUUCUCUACUGGAAUGAAAUGAUCAGUAUACCGAAACCUGGUCAGGGUGUUCUUAUUUUGAAUGUAGAGUUAAGGUGGUGGGUCUGUGCCCAAGGUCUUUGUUGAGUCUAGAAUAUCACUCGGAGAAGCAUUUAAAAUCAUCAUUUCGCAGAUCCCCUUUAAAGCAUAUGGUUAUGAAGUUUUUUUUAACUAAGCUGCUUGACAAUAUUAAUCAUAUAACCACUGUUAUGUAAGACUACUGAUCCUCUGUAAUGACAAGUUAAAAAAAUAAAAAUAUUAAUGUUUUGGAA